Molecule: ribosomal RNA, 706 nt
Filed under: Pseudomonadota bacterium
Lineage: Bacteria; Pseudomonadati; Pseudomonadota
Description: bacterial SSU rRNA
Rfam family: Bacterial small subunit ribosomal RNA
Source: RNAcentral
AUUGAACGCUGGCGGCAUGCCUUACACAUGCAAGUCGAACGGCAGCACGGGAGCAAUCCUGGUGGCGAGUGGCGAACGGGUGAGUAAUAUAUCGGAACGUGCCCAGUCGUGGGGGAUAACGCAGCGAAAGCUGUGCUAAUACCGCAUACGAUCUAUGGAUGAAAGCGGGGGAUCGCAAGACCUCGCGCGAUUGGAGCGGCCGAUAUCAGAUUAGGUUGUUGGUGGGGUAAAAGCCCACCAAGCCGACGAUCUGUAGCUGGUCUGAGAGGACGACCAGCCACACUGGAACUGAGACACGGUCCAGACUCCUACGGGAGGCAGCAGUGGGGAAUUUUGGACAAUGGGCGCAAGCCUGAUCCAGCAAUGCCGCGUGCAGGAUGAAGGCCUUCGGGUUGUAAACUGCUUUUGUACGGAACGAAACGGCCUACUCUAAUACAGUGGGCUAAUGACGGUACCGUAAGAAUAAGCACCGGCUAACUACGUGCCAGCAGCCGCGGUAAUACGUAGGGUGCGAGCGUUAAUCGGAAUUACUGGGCGUAAAGCGUGCGCAGGCGGUUAUAUAAGACAGAUGUGAAAUCCCCGGGCUCAACCUGGGACCUGCAUUUGUGACUGUAUAGCUAGAGUGCGGCAGAGGGGGAUGGAAUUCCGCGUGUAGCAGUGAAAUGCGUAGAUAUGCGGAGGAACACCGAUGGCGAAGGCAAUCCCC